CCGAGAGUGGCCUGGGCCGGCCUGGCUAUCUCUCCGCGGCCUCACGGGCUCCUCGCAAGCGGGGAAGCGGCGGAACUGCGGUGGCUCUUCCUUCCCUUCGGGCGGACGGGGCUCCUCGAGCCCCUCGCGAGGCCUCAGCCGGCCUGAUUGACCCCGCGUGGAAGGAGCGUUUGGGGUGAAGGGAGGGACGACGAAGCCCAUCAUCCGUGGCGGGCCGAAUAAACCCCUUUGGCUUAUUUAUAUACAUGAUAUAAGUAGUAAAUGAACCAGUUUUAUGCCCCCGCCUGCCUGAGCAGUGAACUCUUGCUCUUCGGCCACAGAUGGGCUUUGGCUUUCUCCCUUUUAUUACUAUUUAAUAAUAUUUUAUUAUGUUUCUCUUAAUAUGCUCUUCAUCUCAGCACAGGUAGUCCUCGACUUACGGCCACAACGGAGGCCAGAAUUUCUGUUGUUAAGCAAGGUGGUCAUUAAGUGAGUCACGCCUAAUUUUUCCUGCCACAGCUGUUCUUGCAGCUGUUAAGUGAGUCAUGUGGCCGUUAAACGAAUCCAGCUUCAGAAGGAAGGUCCCAAAUGGCGAUCAUGUGAUCCCGGGAUACAGCAACCUCAUAAAUACAUCCCGGUUGCCAAGCACCCAAAUUUUAAUCGUGUGACCAUGAGGAUGCGGCAUAGGUUAUAAGGGUCAAGGCCAUGUGGAGCAGAAUAGCAAGCCCCAUGGGUGUGACUGGGACGGAAUAUAUGACUCCCCCCCCCCCAACUUCCCACGUUGGGUAUUUUUAAAAGAGGAACAUGAAGCAACUUUGAAGACCUUUGCAGACUCUCAAAAAGGGGGAGCGGGGUCAGUGGGCAAGAGGGAUGAGCAAUUGCCAAAAGACAAAUGCUUUGCUAUCACUCGACUUAAAUUGUUUGUCAAUGAUUUCCAUUACCUAAAUUAUUAUUAAAUGUCAACAAAAAUCUUAAGAGGAAAAAAAUAUUUUGUGAUUCUUCCUUUAUGUAAAUUUUAUUGCUUACAAGUGGAUUUGCACAGUGUUCUUACAUUUAACCGAACAGCUUGUUACAGAGUGUGCAGAAAUCUAUUGAUCUACUGAAGCUUUGGUGAAAUAGGCAAUCCAGUUGUUAACGACAGUCCUCUGCAGUAGAGCAAUUUUCAUUUUUUGCGUUAAAACGCCAAUGGAAAGCUAUACAUUCUUUCAAACGGAACAACUGAAAUGCUAAGGAACAGGCUGGCCUGCCUAAAACUACCAGCAGGACUUUUGAGGGACAAAAACAUUCGAACGACACCAACACGGCCACGAGCACAGGUGAUCAAUACGCAGGCCUUUGUAUCGGGUGUUUUUGGAGCGCGAGGGGAUUGUUACAGAAUCAGCAACGUGGCUUCGUGGGCUUCCUGGACCACCGUCUACGUAGGAGGAUGGCGCUUUUCCACACCAGCACAAUGCACCACGCAAGGAGUGCCUUCAGACCCAGGAGGCAGCCUGUCCUCAAAAUCUGACCACUUCCCUUUUUGCAUGUUUCCCCCGCCCCGCUAGACGCUACACAAGAGCCACGAGAGUUGUGGAAAUGUCGCAGUUCCACCGUGGAAUACAACAACAAAAGAUGGAGGCAGCCCAGCAGAUGAGGCAUGAAAGGCCAGGCGUCUGUUGCAUGCAGAGCAGUGGGGGAAGCGGCUGGACGGACAGCAGGACCGGUCACAGACGGCAUGGGGUGAACAUGGCAGAGCAUUUGGCCUUCCCUUCAGGGCUGGCGUGUAAGCAGCCACAGUUUGGAAAAAGACAGAGGGGCCUUCCCUUGGUUUUUUGCUCUUCGGGAAGACGCCCCUCGGAUGACAUCAGACGCCCAUACAGCUUACCUUCCAAAACCAAAAAGGGGGAGCUAAGGGUGCCAAGGGAGGGGGGCGCUGCCUCUCGUCUGAGCAGGCCGGAGCAGCUGCAAUCACAGGGGGAUGCUGCACCAGAGAGGCGGUUUCGUCCUCCUCUAAGAGCUGUGAUUGUGCCGUCAAACUGAAAAAGAGGCCUUGGUUACAGUGAGCACAUUCAGAGUUCGGCUCUUUUAACAGGCUGGCCAAAAAAUUAAAAAAAUAUAUAAAUUCCCUAGGACUUCUCCCCAAUUCGUGUCCCCGGGCCAAACAUAUCAAUCACCCCCCUCAGCAAGCUGGCAACUACAGUACAUGUUAAAUUGCCAAAGCUUGCCAGCUAAACAUUUAAAGUCCACCCCGUUGUGCAAUGGGUGCUAAUGAAAAGGCAUCAGAAAGUGGGGAUAUCUUGACCAGGAGGCCUCAAGGAGGGACAUGGCAGUUGGCAGAUGAAAAAGAAGGGAAGCAGUAAAAAUUCUAAGUUGCCUAGGGGUGCCAUCCAUAUUUUUUGUUUUUCAAUUAAUAAAAUAUCACUAUCAUCGC
Pantherophis guttatus is the source of this 2389-nucleotide non-coding RNA. The record is from RefSeq and is a predicted model, not a curated record. Lineage: Eukaryota; Metazoa; Chordata; Lepidosauria; Squamata; Colubridae.